GCGGGCGUGGUGGAACCGGUAGACACGCGGGAUUUAGGUUCCCGUGGCGCAAGCCGUGCGAGUUCGAGUCUCGCCGCCCGCACCA
Molecule: transfer RNA, 85 nt
Filed under: Pseudomonadota bacterium
Lineage: Bacteria; Pseudomonadati; Pseudomonadota
Also listed under: 2 other names
Description: tRNA-Leu
Rfam family: tRNA
About the family: Transfer RNA (tRNA) molecules are approximately 80 nucleotides in length.
Source: RNAcentral